RNAcentral lists this long non-coding RNA (559 nucleotides) under Brachypodium distachyon (stiff brome). RNAcentral describes it as "long non-coding RNA (BDIS_LNC002498)". Lineage: Eukaryota; Viridiplantae; Streptophyta; Magnoliopsida; Poales; Poaceae. The record is from RNAcentral.
GUUUUACAAGAUUUUUUUUGUCAGAAUUGACUGGAGUUACUUCCCCUGCAGUGCUCCAUAAACUUUUUUUUCUCUUCGGAACAACGAUUUAGCUGUAUCUCAAGAGAAAAGUACACUAGAUCGAUGCAAUUGAGAUGGACAAAAGUAAUAAAGAUCCUUGAUAAAACUAAGAGCUUCAUCAUGGUCCUUCGAAAUCAUCUUCACUAGAUAUAUCCUUCGCAUCUUGAUAUUCAUCCAAGUGUCAUCUUUGCACAAGCUGGACUUAAUUAUAGGUUUUGAGAAGCCACAUGAGUCACCCGUCUCAAAUAGUGCAAACCUAAGAUCGUUGAACAUACCAUGGCUCGGGAAAGGCAAGAUGUGAAACCGCUGCUUCGUCAAUGAAUUGACAAGAAAAAAUAUCAAAAGAUGAGCCACAAUAACCACUGACUAUACGGAGUAGGCCGCAGCAUUUACACCAGAACGAGGAUGGAAGCACGGCAAAAAUCUUCUAGACGACGUCAUCUCCUAAAUAAGAAAAAAGAAAAGCAAACUAGAUGCCCGCCUCCCGUCUCUCAAUGCC